GUGAGAGGCCUUCGGGUUGUAAAGCUCUUUCGUGAGGGAAGAAAAGGUUUGGGUUAAUAACCUGAAUUGCUGACGGUACCUCAAGAAGAAGCACCGGCUAACUACGUGCCAGCAGCCGCGGU
RNAcentral lists this ribosomal RNA (122 nucleotides) under uncultured bacterium. RNAcentral's name for it is "partial 16S ribosomal RNA". It matches the Rfam family "Bacterial small subunit ribosomal RNA", at positions 407 to 521 of the family's 1533-position model. The record is from RNAcentral.